GGUAGUCCACGCUGUAAACGAUGUCGAUUUGGAGGUUGUGCCCUUGAGGCGUGGCUUCCGGAGCUAACGCGUUAAAUCGACCGCCUGGGGAGUACGGCCGCAAGGUUAAAACUCAAAUGAAUUGACGGGGGCCCGCACAAGCGGUGGAGCAUGUGGUUUAAUUCGAUGCAACGCGAAGAACCUUACCUACUCUUGACAUCCAGAGAACUUUCCAGAGAUGGAUUGGUGCCUUCGGGAACUCUGAGACAGGUGCUGCAUGGCUGUCGUCAGCUCGUGUUGUGAAAUGUUGGGUUAAGUCCCGCAACGAGCGCAACCCUUAUCCUUUGUUGCCAGCGGUUCGGCCGGGAACUCAAAGGAGACUGCCAGUGAUAAACUGGAGGAAGGUGGGGAUGACGUCAAGUCAUCAUGGCCCUUACGAGUAGGGCUACACACGUGCUACAAUGGCAUAUACAAAGAGAAGCGACCUCGCGAGAGCAAGCGGACCUCAUAAAGUAUGUCGUAGUCCGGAUUGGAGUCUGCAACUCGACUCCAUGAAGUCGGAAUCGCUAGUAAUCGUAGAUCAGAAUGCUACGGUGAAUACGUUCCCGGGCCUUGUACACACCGCCCGUCACACCAUGGGAAGUGGGUUGCAAAAGAAGUAGGUAGCUUAACCUUCGGGAGGGCGCUUACCACUUUGUGAU
RNAcentral lists this ribosomal RNA (680 nucleotides) under uncultured Serratia sp. Its description in RNAcentral is "bacterial SSU rRNA". It matches the Rfam family "Bacterial small subunit ribosomal RNA", at positions 789 to 1468 of the family's 1533-position model. The record is from RNAcentral. Lineage: Bacteria; Pseudomonadati; Pseudomonadota; Gammaproteobacteria; Enterobacterales; Yersiniaceae.